UUCGCGAAAGCGUUGCUAAUACCGGAUAUUGUCCCUUUUGCUGUGGCAUGAGGGAUGAAAGGUGACCUAUUCAUGAAAGUUGCCGUUUAGGGAGGGGCUCGCGUACCAUUAGCUUGUUGGUGGGGUAAUGGCCUACCAAGGCUGCGAUGGUUAGCUGGUCUGAGAGGAUGAUCAGCCACACUGGAACUGAAACACGGUCCAGACUCCUACGGGAGGCAGCAGUGAGGAAUUUUGCGCAAUGGGGGAAACCCUGACGCAGCAACGCCGUGUGAGUGAAGAAGGCUUUCGGGUCGUAAAGCUCUGUCAAGUGGGAAAAAGGACUUUCGAUAAAUAGCCGGAAGUAUUGAUGGUACCACUAGAGGAAGCACCGGCUAACUCCGUGCCAGCAGCCGCGGUAAUACGGAGGGUGCAAGUGUUGUUCGGAAUUACUGGGCGUAAAGAGCGUGUAGGCGGUUUGGUAAGUCAGGUGUGAAAGCCCUGGGCUUAACCCAGGAAGUGCACUUGAAACUACCUCACUUGAGUAUGGGAGAGGAGAGUGGAAUUCCCAGUGUAGAGGUGAAAUUCGUAGAUAUUGGGAGGAACACCCGUGGCGAAGGCGACUCUCUGGACCAAUACUGACGCUGAGACGCGAAAGCGUGGGGAGCAAACAGGAUUAGAUACCCUGGUAGUCCACGCCGUAAACGAUGAGAACUAGGUGUAGCGGGUAUUGACCCCUGCUGUGCCGGAGCUAACGCAUUAAGUUCUCCGCCUGGGGAGUACGGCCGCAAGGCUAAAACUCAAA
This 781-nucleotide ribosomal RNA is filed under the name uncultured delta proteobacterium. Its description in RNAcentral is "bacterial SSU rRNA". It matches the Rfam family "Bacterial small subunit ribosomal RNA", at positions 148 to 905 of the family's 1533-position model. Lineage: Bacteria; Deltaproteobacteria. The record is from RNAcentral.